Molecule: ribosomal RNA, 425 nt
Filed under: Culicoides miombo
Lineage: Eukaryota; Metazoa; Arthropoda; Insecta; Diptera; Ceratopogonidae
Description: partial 16S ribosomal RNA
Source: RNAcentral
ACCGUGCAAAGGUAGCAUAAUCAAUUGUCUUUUAAUUAAAGGCUUGUAUGAAUGGUUGAAUGAGAUAUUAACUAUUUUUAUUUUAAUAAAAAUGAAUUUUAAUUUUUAGUAAAAAUACUAAAAUAAAAAAAUUAGACGAGAAGACCCUAUAGAUCUUUAUUUUUAAUAAAAUAAUAUUAAUUUUGAAAAAUUAUAAAUUAUUUAUUUUAUAGAAAAUUUUAUUGGGAAGAUAAUGAAAUUUAAAGAACUUUCAUAAAUUUUAUAAUUAUAAUUAAUCAAUUGAAUAUAUAAUUUAUAUUUUUAAAAUCAAGUUACCUUAGGGAUAACAGCGUAAUUAUUUUUAAGAGUUCUUAUCGAUAAAAUAUUUUGCGAUCUCUCCGAUGUUGAAAUAUAGAAAUAACGACCGUGCAGAAGGUUACAUGGCU